AAAAAAAACUGACAUGCAGAGAAUAGGCCGUUCUUCUCUCUGGGGAAACAGAUCCUAGAGUCUCACCGUGUGUCUGUCAGGUCUGUCAGUAAGGCCUGUUUUAUCAGGUCACAUUGCCAUGUAUAAUGGAUGUUACUGUGGCAACCUGACAGGAUGAGAUGCUUUGUCUCUCUCUUUUCCUGCAUAUGAGAACUGAGCAGUGAAUUCUGAAGGGUCCUUCUAGCUCCGAGCUGUGCUUUCAGGCCGCUUCACUCCAUCAAACAGCUGAUAAAAUGGUCCGGGGAGAGCGAGAGAGACAGACUGCUGUGCCUGACGUGGAUACCGGGGCUUGUGAAACUGACCAGAUAAACUCCAACAGCUGGAUCCAGUGAAAUUGUAAGAGAGCAAUUUUCCAGACGUCAUCUCUGAAGUCACGGCCACAGGAAUGGAGGCUCAUUUCUAUCAGAAGUGUUUGUGCCUCCCUGACAAAGGGAAAUGAAAUGGCACCAAGGGCAAUCGAAUAAAUCAGCAUGCUCAUUCCCCAGAUUCCACAAUACAUUUCAACCCUGCAGCAUUUUUUUAUACUAAAUCGGCACUUUUUACUCUAAGACAUCAGAGUCUGGUGGGAGACUUCAGCUCUUUUUCAGACCCUAAUAAGCUACCUUGCUACUGCCUAACAACGUCCUAACUGGAAAAAUGUAAAUUACAGAUUUGCAAUUCUUCCAUGCACUUAAAAAAA
Molecule: long non-coding RNA, 718 nt
Filed under: Carassius auratus (goldfish)
Lineage: Eukaryota; Metazoa; Chordata; Actinopteri; Cypriniformes; Cyprinidae
Description: lncRNA (ENSCARG00000026751.1)
Source: RNAcentral